AACGCUUACAUUCUCGUUCUAAAGUUUUCAACUGAAAACUCAUAUGCAUAACGUUCACAAAAUAUUCAGUAUUCUCUUUUAAAGAGAAAAGUUCGUGUGUAUAAUAAAAAGUAGUAAUGGGGUAAAGUUCAGUUGCAGUGGAACAUUUUAUAUUCUUGCAAUUUGUAAGAAUUAAAGACGUGGAAAUACAUUCAUUUUCUGCAAAAUAUUAUCAUACACAUAUGAAUUCAAGAUUUAUUCUUUAGUUAAAUUGCGAACCGGUUGCGAUAUAAUGCUCAAUUUAAAUAUCCUACGUAUUGACCAAUAUUUAAGAUAUAAGUAGUUACCCGGAAGUUCGAAAAAUAUAUUGGGUACAUAAGUCCAAAGCAAAGGGAUGAAUCAAUUUUAUCUCCUUUCAUUCAUUAAACUUACCCAAGAAUCACAAGUGUCCAAUAUUUUCGAAAUAAAGUAAAAGUAUUAUAGUAAUUUAUUAUACAACAACGACGAAGCUGUUGGGGCUAAAACCGUGAGCUGCGCUUAAAAGAAAGACUUCAUGAAUACUUGAAUACAUUGAAAUUCCAAGCUUUUUACUUAAUGAGAUAAAAGAACGCUUCCACAAACUAGGGUAGGAAAGAAAGUACUAUUGUAUAAACCUACAAGUAACAAAACCUGGAGUGCCUUGGAGAUGCUACUACUGCAAUUAUUACGUAGCUCGAACGCACCCCUACUUUUUUAUCAAUACAUACACAGGCGAAACCUUUUAGAAUGACAGAAAUUACGAUAAGAAUGCUUAUGCAACAGCUGUACAUCCAAUAUUGAAAAUACGCUCAUCUCUUUGAUUUCUUUCGGGCGGUACUUAUCAAAAAAGCAGUGGAAAUGAUUUUAACAUUGGACUGGCGCAACGUUAAAAAUUUAUAAUUUUUAAGGUUUUAAUUAUGGAGUAAAUGGCGUAGAACAAAAGAUUGUACCGACUGUUUAUGCUCGCAACAUUUUUGUAUGUAUCCCUUUACUAAAUACAUCAUAAAAACGAUUUGAUGAAUGUAGGUCAGAGCGUAAAUUGUUGAAAAAUAAGACUGCUAAUUUUCGGCUUUGUAACAAAACCGUUUUAUUAUUUUUUGAAUAUAUUGUAUACAAACUACAAUUUAACUGUAAUUAAUAUGUAAUCUUAUAGAAAACUAAGUGCUUUUACCAUUGAUUACUUCUUUAAUGUUUUCACGGUUGGGAUACUACCGUUAAAUACCUACAUAAGUUGUGAAAGUAUCAUAUUUUCAAAUGGAUAACGUUUACGAAAAAUGAGAGCAUAAUGUAUUAUUGUAAUAAUUAAAGGGAUAGAAUAUACCAUUAUAGAA
Long non-coding RNA from Bactrocera oleae (olive fruit fly), 1328 nucleotides. RefSeq lists it as uncharacterized. The record is from RefSeq and is a predicted model, not a curated record. Lineage: Eukaryota; Metazoa; Arthropoda; Insecta; Diptera; Tephritidae.